Long non-coding RNA from Etheostoma spectabile (orangethroat darter), 86 nucleotides. RefSeq lists it as uncharacterized. The record is from RefSeq and is a predicted model, not a curated record. Lineage: Eukaryota; Metazoa; Chordata; Actinopteri; Perciformes; Percidae. The transcript is spliced from 3 exons.
GUACAAGAUAUACAUAUAAAAAGGUUCCCUAACCAUGCAGUCAUUCCAAAGCUGAUUACAUUCUCUAAAACAGCCUGACAAAAACA